RNA transcript from Equus quagga, 2627 nucleotides. It is a transcript of the gene named chromosome 9 C19orf44 homolog, with no coding region annotated. NCBI's taxonomy places the organism in Eukaryota, Metazoa, Chordata, Mammalia, Perissodactyla, Equidae. The record is from RefSeq and is a predicted model, not a curated record. The transcript is spliced from 9 exons.
GGUCCCCUCUGGCCCAAGUGCCGGGCGUGAGCGGCGGCGGCGGCCUCCGCGGAUGGACAGAGUGGGAGGAGGUUGGCGGGGUCUGCAGGGUGGCGGCCGGGUUUUGCGACCAGGCUCCGGCGAGGAGAAUGGCUUCAACCAAAAAAAUCAGCCAUCCUGUGUGCGAUGUCUUUGGUGAUUUCAGUGAUAUUUCCUUGGAAGAUUCAAAGAUGGAAGAAAUCAGAAACUUGAAAAUCAGUAGAGGUCUUACCAAAAUAGCACCUGGUCCUAGCAGAUUUCUAAAAAGAAACCAAACUAUGGGUGAGAAACACUUAUUCCCAAAAGAGAAUGCUGUCCUGGGGAGGGAGCCCGGGCCCUCCUCAGGUAGACCCCUGGCCGCUGCCUCGAAGCUCAGGGCCCACGCCGCGCUCACAAAGCUGGCCCAGCUCGAAACCCGGAUCCUGAAUCGGAAGGUGCAGAUGGAUGUGUCUGCCGUGGACUCUGACCCGGAGACCUCCGAGGGCCGUCCUCCAGGGAGGGCGGACGAAGCGCCCCUCAGUGCCGCUGAACGCUCCUCACAGAACACAGACAGCACCCCCCGGACGCAAGCCCGAGGAGCUCCCACCGCCAGGGGUGCUGCGCCGAAUGGGCAGGCCAGUCGCUUUCUAAAGAAGAGAGGCCCACCUGGGGAAAACACACCCCCUGGAGCACAGUUUGGGCAAGAGAGGAGCUUUCAGACAUCCAAAGUGAAAGAACCUGUUAGAAAAUUGGAUUCUCCAGACAGCGAUGAAGAGGAAAUGAGAGAGUUGCUGGGAAGCUUGAUGGAAUCUUCUAGAGAAAAAGAAACACACACAAAUCAGGGUUUCACCAGCACCAAAGUCAGUGAGAAAGAACGAAUAAAACUAUUCCCGGAUCAGAUCCCAACUCAACUGAGAGUCCUUUCUCUACCCAGUGAGGAACUUUCCAGCCCAAAGCCGUGGCAGACGUCACCUCUGCCAACCUCACAGUCAGCGGAUGGGACCCUUUGCAGCAUGCGCUCAGGAGCCCACUCCCCACAGACUCACAGUUCCGGUGACACACACUUGCGCACGGCGUCACUUUCUGUCACCAGCACCUUUUUGAAGAAGGCGCCCACGGUGAUGGGGCAGGGCGGGCGCAUGUCCUUGCCUGGAAGCAGUGAGGCUGAGCCCUGGUGGGAGCCACUCUCAGAAGCCUCUGAUGCCAGCUUGGACGAUUUUAGAAUAAACGUUCUGUCCCUCGACGAUCUGGCUCCAGCUGUCAGUGAGAGAUCAGACUUGAAACAGAAGAAAGAAGGUCAGAGGGAAAAGGCACCCAGCGAAAGCCCCCAGGCAAGGGCGCCGCCCACUGGAAGCGAGGUCUCCGAGCGCCUGAGCGAGCCCGCAGCCUCCUCUGCCCUGCCCAAGGGCACUGCCAGCCUGCGGCCCCCAGCUCAGCAACCCGCGGCUGGCCCAGCGAGCGCUGCUUAUUCGGAAGAUUUUGAAGGGUCUCCAAGUCCAACCACGUCUGAGCCACCGGCCCAUUCUGGGGAGGCCCCCGACAGGACGCUGGACACCUUGUCUGAAUUCUCCGCCAGCCUGAACACCGACCUGCCCCCACCCGCGCCUGAGUCCCGGAGGAAGCGGCCCAGGGGCGGGCCGGGAGUCACGAUGAGGGAGACGGCCGUGCAGACCCUCGGCCCGGCUGGCACCGACCCGUGGACGGAGGCAGCUGGCAUGGCGGCCAUCCGACCAGCCCUGGGAGGCGCCUACGUGGACCCUGCGCCUAUCGCCAGUCACGUCGUGAGUGCAGAUGCCAUAGAAGCCCUGACAGCUUACAGCCCGGCCGUGUUUGCACUCCACGACCUGCUCAAGCAGCAGCUCAGCCUGACGCAGCAGUUCGUGGAGGCCAGCCGGCACCUGCACGGGUCCCUCCUGCAGUCCCUGGACCGAGACUCGUUCCACUACCACACCCUGGAGGAAACCAAAGAGUUUGCUGAAGAAAACAGGUUGUUUGUCUGACAGUUUCCCCCAUUCUGGACUUUGCUGGCUGCACCCCUGUGGGCUCCUUGUUCCCACUAGAUGAACAUCAGUUGAUGGAUGCUGGCUGAAGGGACCUGACCACGUCACCUGCCUACAGCCCACCAAGGCUCCCCACUGUCUGCUACGGGCCCACGUCCUGAGAGCGGCUCCCAGGCUCUCCUCCCAGACGGUGCACUCUAAGGGCACCCCUGGUAGCCCCGUCCACCAGCCCCACGUGAUGGCAGCCACUCUUCCCUUUCGGACUCAUCAGGGCUCACCCCUUGCAGGGCACCCUGCUGGGGCCUGCCGCAUUCACCUCUCCUCUUCUGUUCCCACAGCAUUGUCACCUGGCAUCCUGUCAUUUUACUUUUCUGUAGCCCAACUGGGAGCUGCUGGGGAUGGGUGCCGUCUCCAGCACCCAAAGCCUCAGGAGACUGAGGCAGUGGUGGUGGUGACGUGUCUGUCUGUCCUCUGCCCAACAGUACAUCAGGCGGCACAGGCCCGCCCCGCUGACCAUGGAGGAUGCUCUGGAGGAGGUGAGGAAGGAGCCGUGAGCACCAGCAGCAAAGCAUCAGAGGGCUCCAGCGCUACCAGUGGGUCAUUCGACAGUUAAGACAGAAAUCUUACGGC